RNAcentral lists this ribosomal RNA (279 nucleotides) under uncultured bacterium. RNAcentral's name for it is "partial 16S ribosomal RNA". It matches the Rfam family "Bacterial small subunit ribosomal RNA", at positions 506 to 784 of the family's 1533-position model. The record is from RNAcentral.
UGCCAGCAGCCGCGGUAAGACGAACCGGACAAACGUUAUUCGGAAUUACUGGGCUUAAAGAGUACGUAGGCGGCUUUGUAGGUUGGGUGUGAAAUCCCACAGCUCAACUGUGGAACUGCGCUCAAAACCACAAGGCUUGAGGGAAGCAGAGGUAAGCGGAACUGAUGGUGGAGCGGUGAAAUGCGUUGAUAUCAUCAGGAACACCAGUGGCGAAGGCGGCUUACUGGGCUUCUACUGACGCUGAGGUACGAAAGCUAGGGUAGCGAACGGGAUUAGAUA